Molecule: non-coding RNA, 86 nt
Organism: Mucidula mucida
Lineage: Eukaryota; Fungi; Basidiomycota; Agaricomycetes; Agaricales; Physalacriaceae
Source: the annotation of a GenBank genome assembly
GGGCACAUGGUGUAGUUGGUUUAUCACGCCCGCUUAGCAUGAAUAUCUGAUGCGGGAGGUGUUGGGUUCAAUUCCCAAUGUGUCCA